GGCUCUCUGUUUACAUAAAUAUAGGGAGUCGAGCCUGCCCAGUGAAUUUUUAAACGGCCGCGGUACUCUGACCGUGCAAAGGUAGCAUAAUCAUUUGCCUUAUAAUUGAAGGCUAGUAUGAAUGGUUUGACGAGAGCAACACUGUCUCCUUUUUAUUUUCAAGAACUUAACUUUUAGGUGAAGAGGCCUAAAUUUUAUUGAAGGACAAGAAGACCCUAUCGAGCUUAAAAGACAUUAUAGAAGUUUAUAUAUUUCUAAAUAAAUUUUCUAUUGAGCUUUUUAGUUGGGGCGACUAAGGAACAAAAAAAGCUUCUUGCUAAUAAUAGACAGUCAUGUUUAGAUCCGAUAAUAAUCGAUCAAAGGAAUUAGUUACCGUAGGGAUAACAGCAUAAUCUCUCUUGAGAGACCUAAUCGAAAGAGGGGGUUGUGACCUCGAUGUUGGACUAGAAUAUCCUAAAGAUGCAGAAGUCUUUGAAGGUCGGUCUGUUCGACCGUUAAAAUUCU
This 504-nucleotide ribosomal RNA is filed under the name Juga plicifera. RNAcentral's name for it is "partial large subunit ribosomal RNA". It matches the Rfam family "Bacterial large subunit ribosomal RNA", at positions 1817 to 2597 of the family's 2925-position model. Lineage: Eukaryota; Metazoa; Mollusca; Gastropoda; Semisulcospiridae. The record is from RNAcentral.